This 496-nucleotide ribosomal RNA is filed under the name uncultured bacterium. RNAcentral describes it as "partial 16S ribosomal RNA". It matches the Rfam family "Bacterial small subunit ribosomal RNA", at positions 28 to 506 of the family's 1533-position model. The record is from RNAcentral.
GAUGAACGCUGGCGGCGUGCCUAAUACAUGCAAGUCGAGCGAACAGAUAAGGAGCUUGCUCCUUCGACGUUAGCGGCGGACGGGUGAGUAACACGUGGGUAACCUACCUAUAAGACUGGGAUAACUUCGGGAAACCGGAGCUAAUACCGGAUAACAUUUGGAACCGCAUGGUUCUAAAGUGAAAGAUGGUUUUGCUAUCACUUAUAGAUGGACCCGCGCCGUAUUAGCUAGUUGGUAAGGUAACGGCUUACCAAGGCAACGAUACGUAGCCGACCUGAGAGGGUGAUCGGCCACACUGGAACUGAGACACGGUCCAGACUCCUACGGGAGGCAGCAGUAGGGAAUCUUCCGCAAUGGGCGAAAGCCUGACGGAGCAACGCCGCGUGAGUGAUGAAGGGUUUCGGCUCGUAAAACUCUGUUAUUAGGGAAGAACAAACGUGUAAGUAACUGUGCACGUCUUGACGGUACCUAAUCAGAAAGCCACGGCUAACUACGU